GGGAAGGCUCUAGCUGGCUGGAAUAAGCAAGGAGACUGUGAAACAGCAGCAGAAGCAAAGACUGAGAACAACAAAUGUUGCCAAGGUUGAUGUUCACCCUCAACUGCUGUUUGCAGGGCUUCAGCUGAAAUGAAGAUGUAGUACUUAACAAAAGAACAGAGGAAAGGAACAUCACUCAAGGUGGAAGUAUUCCAGAAAUAAAUUUCUGUUCAGGCACGUCCCUUGGUGCAACACUGGAUGAGAAUCUCAUAUUUUGUGUUCGUUUUGUAUGGAUGAAUCCAGAUGUGUAGGCCUAUCCAGGCACAUCAUUCAGGAAACUACUGUAUUGCAAAUUUUUGGAAACCAAAUGCCACAGAAAGAUACAUGCUUGCAGUCCCCAGUUUUGAUCGGCUACUUUAGAAGAACGUCCUGGCAUUUGGAUGUCUCCAUCAGUCCAACUGAUUCAAGCCUUUAAAAACAGGCCACCUGACCAAACUAUGAAGACAAGCUAAUUCAGGAUAGCUGGAAUUGGGCCCAGGAGCAACCUUAAGAGACUAAUCUUACACUUUGAUGAAUUCAUUGCUUAGCAUUUGUACUUUUUAUGGCUUAUUUAAUCAGAAACAAUAACAGAGAACACCAAUGGGUUGGGCUGUGAAAAACAGGCUUUAAGAUUAAACCAAAAAGCAGAUGAUCAGGAGGGGUUUUAAAAAUGCUUGUCAAAAGCAUAUGCAAAUGUUAAGAUUCCAUUAUCACCUAAGGAAGCCAAAUAGGCACCAUUACUGUAAGUAUAAAGCAUUUGUUCCAAAUGGAAUUUUGCAACCAUGCCAGCAAUCCUAAUGAUUAUGGAGCAGCCAUUAGAUUUAUACUGCACAAUGCAAGUAAGAAAAAUUUUACUGUCCUGAAAAUAUAGCUAACCAGUUAUGUCUCUUGUACCCUACUUACUUGAGUAACUUAAAGUCAGCUUCCAGAUGGUUCUCUUUGUUAAACAGAUUGCAGCUCUUGAUUGCUUUCUCUGUCUGAGGUCCCUCUAUCUUAAGCUCUGAAUGCUCAUGAGGUUCUUAGUGCCAUGCAUUCAUAUGGUAAACAGAAGAAAAUUGAAAAGUUGAUGAUGUGUGCUGUGAAGCUGUAGGAUGUCUUGUCUUCUCAACAUGUACACACAAGUUUUCAGCAUCUUGCUUUUUCUAUACAAUUACUGGAAUGUCCUAGGAUGGGUAACUGUUGCCUUGUGGCUGGGCUCUCUGUGAGACAAAGAACUCUAAAGACAGAUAUGCCGCCAAAAGUGUAAAAGAAGCAGU
Molecule: long non-coding RNA, 1274 nt
Organism: Rhineura floridana
Lineage: Eukaryota; Metazoa; Chordata; Lepidosauria; Squamata; Rhineuridae
Exons: 4
Source: RefSeq, a predicted model, not a curated record